AACGCACAUUGCGCCCUCUGGUACUCCGGGGGGCAUGCCUGUUCGAGCGUCAUUACAACCCUCAAGCCCCGCUUGGUCUUGGGCGUCGCCGUCCCGGCGCGCCUCAAAAGCAGUGGCGGCCGUCGCCGGCUCCAAGCGCAGUAAUUCUUCUCGCUCUGGAGGACCGGCCGCGCGCCUCGCCAGCAACCCCAACCACCAAGGUUGACCUCAGAUCAGGUAGGGAUACCCGCUGAACUUAA
RNAcentral lists this unclassified non-coding RNA (239 nucleotides) under Tricladium sp. Its description in RNAcentral is "partial contains 5.8S ribosomal RNA, internal transcribed spacer 2, and large subunit ribosomal RNA". The record is from RNAcentral. Lineage: Eukaryota; Fungi; Ascomycota; Leotiomycetes; Helotiales; Tricladiaceae.